RNAcentral lists this ribosomal RNA (20 nucleotides) under Phytophthora palmivora. RNAcentral's name for it is "partial 28S ribosomal RNA". The record is from RNAcentral. Lineage: Eukaryota; Oomycota; Peronosporomycetes; Peronosporales; Peronosporaceae.
AAUUCACUAGGCGCAGGCUU